This 436-nucleotide unclassified non-coding RNA is filed under the name Allium canadense var. canadense. Its description in RNAcentral is "partial external transcribed spacer". The record is from RNAcentral. Lineage: Eukaryota; Viridiplantae; Streptophyta; Magnoliopsida; Asparagales; Amaryllidaceae.
GGGGAGAAGGCGAGGGGCUUUGCUGGGUUGUGACCGUGACGGCAUGUGAGUGGUUGUUGAUGUGCGCACUACGUCAGGCUCCCCGCUUUGUUGCGGCCAACUGACGAGUACCACAUACCUCUUUCAUUCCUAUGUGUUGAAUUUCACUAGGUUUGAUGUUGCCUUCGUGGAAAUCGGACCGGGUUCGGAAUACAAUGACGGAUGAUGCUUAUUUGUACUGCCCCUCGUCUUAUCCAAGCGUUUGAAAGGGGUACCAAGCUGGAUACUUUGGUAUUUUGAUUGCUUCGUUGUGUUGCCUAUCAUUUUUAUCGUUGAGUGCUCCAAAAAUUUUACGGGUGUUGUGCAUGCUAAAGAGUCUUGGGAAGCCUUUCCUUCGUGCUUAUUAUUUAUAGCUCGGUUUCGCCACCACCUGUCUUAAUAAACGCCUGCACGUGUC